AACGAACGCUGGCGGCAUGCCUAACACAUGCAAGUCGAACGAGACCUCCGGGUCUAGUGGCGCAGGGGUGCGUAACGCGUGGGAACCUGCCCUUAGGUUCGGAAUAACUCCCCGAAAGGGGUGCUAAUACCGGAUAAUGUCUUCGGACCAAAGAUUUAUCGCCUUUGGAUGGGCCCGCGGUGGAUUAGCUAGUUGGUAGGGUAAAAGCCUACCAAGGCGACGAUCCAUAGCUGGUUUGAGAGGAUGAUCAGCCACACUGGGACUGAGACACGGCCCAGACUCCUACGGGAGGCAGCAGUGGGGAAUAUUGGACAAUGGGCGAAGGCCUGAUCCAGCAAUGCCGCGUGAGUGAUGAAGGCCUUAGGGUAGUAAAGCUCUUUUACCCGGGAUGAUAAUGACAGUACCGGGAGAAUAAGCUCCGGCUAACUCCGUG
This 433-nucleotide ribosomal RNA is filed under the name uncultured bacterium. Its description in RNAcentral is "partial 16S ribosomal RNA". It matches the Rfam family "Bacterial small subunit ribosomal RNA", at positions 29 to 507 of the family's 1533-position model. The record is from RNAcentral.